Molecule: small nucleolar RNA, 140 nt
Organism: Ornithorhynchus anatinus (platypus)
Lineage: Eukaryota; Metazoa; Chordata; Mammalia; Monotremata; Ornithorhynchidae
Source: RefSeq, a predicted model, not a curated record
CUCUUCUCAGGGUUGCACCUGGAGAGUUUCCAGUACUCUAACAGUCUCAGCUAUGGGAGGGAGAGUCAAGCAGAGGCAUACCCAUUCCAUUCCUAGCUUGGGCAGUGGCUAGCGAGUGCAAGGCAAUCUCUGCUACAAGU